Molecule: long non-coding RNA, 708 nt
Organism: Rhodamnia argentea
Lineage: Eukaryota; Viridiplantae; Streptophyta; Magnoliopsida; Myrtales; Myrtaceae
Exons: 4
Source: RefSeq, a predicted model, not a curated record
GGAGCAAUAGUUUGGGGAAAGAAUGGCAUGAUAUGUGAAAGUGUUCUUUCAGAGUUCAAAGAGUUAGUAGCAAUGUAUGGAGGGACCAAGGAGAAGCGAAGAGCAGAUCAGAUGCUAAAAUGGCUUAUUGUUGUUUCGGAUAACCCUUCAGAUCGCAUGAUCGGCCUUCCGACCACCAGAAAGCUUGCUGAAAAAAACAAGGUCAUUUUUGGCACUGGAGAUUACUGGCAUGUGCCGAGCUUAACCGCAAAUAUGGCUUUUGUUAGAGCAGUUUCUCAGACCGGGAUGUCUCUCCAUACGAUCGAGCAUAGACCACGUGCUUUGAUUGGAAAUUAGGUACUAAUUUUUUUCUGGAAGUGGCUUGACAUGUGUUUGUGAGUGGACUUCAAGCUGUCCACCACCAGGGAACAUCGGCCCAAGAUUCUAACCUUCCUCAACUUCAUUGUGCCUAGUUCGACUGACACCGGUGCAUCAACUUUUAGAUCGAGAGGGAUUUGUCCUGUUUGCUGUUGCUGCUGCAGUGCUUUCAUUAUGGUGCUCCCAGACUCGCUUUGGCCAGUCAAGGGUCAGGUCGAAGUUGAGCCUCAAAGCACUUAUUUGAAGGCGGUCAACAGAAUACUGUGGAAUUUUGGGUUGGAAGACAAAGUAAAUAACUGCGGCAACUAUUCCAAUGAGGAUCAGUAUGAGAAGGAGGAGGCUAAUGAUCCC